RNAcentral lists this ribosomal RNA (421 nucleotides) under Grimontella sp. VAC36. RNAcentral's name for it is "bacterial SSU rRNA". It matches the Rfam family "Bacterial small subunit ribosomal RNA", at positions 977 to 1392 of the family's 1533-position model. The record is from RNAcentral. Lineage: Bacteria; Pseudomonadati; Pseudomonadota; Gammaproteobacteria; Enterobacterales.
GGUCUUGAACUCACCGGCAAUUCGGCAGAGAUGCCUUCUAGUGCCUUACGAGAGAACCGUGAGACAGGUGCUGCAUGGCUGUCGUCAGCUCGUGUUGUGAAAUGUUGGGUUAAGUCCCGCAACGAGCGCAACCCUUAUCCUUUGUUGCCAGCGGUCCGGCCGGGAACUCAAAGGAGACUGCCAGUGAUAAACUGGAGGAAGGUGGGGAUGACGUCAAGUCAUCAUGGCCCUUACGACCAGGGCUACACACGUGCUACAAUGGCAUAUACAAAGAGAAGCGACCUCGCGAGAGCAAGCGGACCUCAUAAAGUAUGUCGUAGUCCGGAUUGGAGUCUGCAACUCGACUCCAUGAAGUCGGAAUCGCUAGUAAUCGUGGAUCAGAAUGCCACGGUGAAUACGUUCCCGGGUCUUGUACACACCG